This 54-nucleotide small RNA is filed under the name Arabidopsis thaliana (thale cress). RNAcentral describes it as "ATSL301650". The record is from RNAcentral. Lineage: Eukaryota; Viridiplantae; Streptophyta; Magnoliopsida; Brassicales; Brassicaceae.
AAUAUACCAUAAAUCAUUUAGACUAAUGUGUAGUUUUUUUUUUGGUUUUUUUUU